This 300-nucleotide ribosomal RNA is filed under the name uncultured bacterium. RNAcentral describes it as "partial 16S ribosomal RNA". It matches the Rfam family "Bacterial small subunit ribosomal RNA", at positions 496 to 795 of the family's 1533-position model. The record is from RNAcentral.
UGGAAGUACGGGCAAGCCGAGGCGGUAAGAGGUGGGGGUGGUGGUUUGGCCGGAAGUAUGAGGGGGAAGGAGCUGUUAGGGGGUGUGUGGGGUGUGCAGGGAAAAUCCGGUGCGCAAACCCGGAUUGGCUGUGGGUACGGGCAGACUAGAGGAUGGUAGGGGAGACCGGAAUUCCUGGUGGAGCGGUGGAAUGCGCAGAUAUCAGGAGGAACACCGAUGGCGAAGGCAGGUCUCUGGGCCAUAACUGACGCUGAGAAGCGAAAGCAUGGGGAGCGAACAGGAUUAGAUACCCGUUUAGUC